This 497-nucleotide ribosomal RNA is filed under the name uncultured bacterium. RNAcentral describes it as "partial 16S ribosomal RNA". It matches the Rfam family "Bacterial small subunit ribosomal RNA", at positions 28 to 507 of the family's 1533-position model. The record is from RNAcentral.
GAUGAACGCUAGCGGCGUGCCUAAUACAUGCAAGUCGAACGGACAGACGGGGAGCUUGCUCCUAUGACGUUAGCGGCGGACGGGUGUGUAACACGUGGAUAACCUCCCUAUAAGACUGGGAUAACUUCGGGAGACGGGUGAUCAUACCAGAAAAUAUAUUGAAGGGCAUGGAUCAAGAGUAAAAGGCGGGGUUGCGGGCACGUAUAGACGGAUCCGGGCCUCAUUAGCGAGUUGGUAUGGGACCGGGUUAGCAAGCCAACGAUGCGGAGCCGAGGUGAGAGGGUGAUCAGCCACACCGGAACUGGGACACGGUCCAGACUCCUACGGGAGGCAGCAGCAGGGAAUCUUCCGCAAUGGGCGAAGGUCUGACGCAGCAACGGCGCUUGAGCGAGGAAGGUCUUCGGAUCGUAAAACGCUGUUUGCUUUGAAGAACAAAUGUGAUAGCAACGCUGCACGUCUUGACGGUACCUGAUCAGAAAGCCACGGCUAACUACGUG